This 377-nucleotide ribosomal RNA is filed under the name uncultured bacterium. Its description in RNAcentral is "bacterial SSU rRNA". It matches the Rfam family "Bacterial small subunit ribosomal RNA", at positions 32 to 419 of the family's 1533-position model. The record is from RNAcentral.
AAUCAACGCUGGCGGCGCGCUUAACACAUGCAAGUCGCACGAGAAAGUGGAGCAAUCCAUGAGUACAGUGGCGUACGGGUGAGUAACACGUGGGUAAUCUACCUCUUAGUGGGGAAUAACUCUGGGAAACCGGAGCUAAUACCGCAUAAGCCUGGAAAGGGAAAGCAGCAAUGCGCUGAGAGGGGAGCCCGCGGCCGAUUAGCUAGUUGGUAGGGUAAAAGCCUACCAAGGCAAUGAUCGGUAGCCGGCCUGAGAGGGCACACGGCCACACUGGCACUGAAACACGGGCCAGACUCCUACGGGAGGCAGCAGUGGGGAAUCUUGCACAAUGGGGGCAACCCUGAUGCAGCGACGCCGCGUGAGCGAUGAAGCCCUUC